RNAcentral lists this long non-coding RNA (450 nucleotides) under Pan troglodytes (chimpanzee). RNAcentral describes it as "long non-coding RNA NONPTRT006108". The record is from RNAcentral. Lineage: Eukaryota; Metazoa; Chordata; Mammalia; Primates; Hominidae.
GACAUACUGGAUCUUUCUGGGUAUCAUCAAACUUCUCCAUCCAAGAAUAAGGGACAGCAGCAUCUCUUUGACAUCCAUAGCCCAUUUCUGCUUUGCCAAUAUCACUUGUGCAUCUGGGGCCACCAAUGCAUCCUAUCCUAGCAAGUAUCAAUGGGAAUAAAGAAGAAACUUAGAAAAUGACAAAAUUCAAGAAGAGCUGAAGCUCUGGAGCUAGCUUUGGUGGAGAAAGAAUGAUGGGGGAUGUUGGACUAAGCGAGAAAUGCAUAAGAAGCUGGAAACCAGAAAGCAACGAGACCCACUAACACGGUCUACUCUGGUCAGCCCCUGGGCACAAAGGAGGGUGAAGAAAGGAUGGGAGCAGACAUGGAGGCACCAAUGGAAAGUACCAGAACACUUAAAAAAUUGAACUUUUAUGUUAUUACUCAAUGUUACUUUUAUAUUAUUAAUCAG